GGGAAUGUGGCUCAGUGGUAGAGUACUUGCCUUGCAUGCAUGUGGCCCUGGGUUCGACUCAGCACCA
Molecule: non-coding RNA, 67 nt
Organism: Dipodomys ordii (Ord's kangaroo rat)
Lineage: Eukaryota; Metazoa; Chordata; Mammalia; Rodentia; Heteromyidae
Source: Rfam